AUCCAACAUACGGAUCUUCCCGAAUUGGAUGUGUAAGUUUAUAAAAUAAAUGUUAAUCGCCACUCGGUUUUGGACAAUUGGCGGAGAUCCAACCGUUGGAUUGCAAUGAAAUUGUAGUAUGUUAUUCUAAAAGAAUAAUGUGUAUCUUUGGAAGUUGCGGAUUGAAAAUCUAAUAUGCAGAUCCUCUGGAUCAAGUUAUAUAGGUUUGUAGAUCCUACCGUCGAUCUUUGAUCGACGAUUGACUUAUGGUCAAUGGGUCUCAAACUAUUUUAGAAUGUCCUUGAGGAUGUAUUUUAUGUGAAUUACCUAUUCUAUUGAUGAGGAUUAUGAGAUGUGGUUGAUAAUUGGCCGCAGGCGCCGAUCGCUUGGGACGCCCCGAUGGUUGUGCUAAGAAGUUGUAGCACGGACUCCAGGUGAGUGGAUCUUUCCUUGCUCAUCUUAUGUUUCAUGAUUGAUAAUUCUAUAAAUGCUUUUAAAUAAAACUGAGAAACUUAUGCCAUGACAUAUAUAUAUAUAUAUAUAUGUUAUAAAAUACUAUGAGAUGGUUGAGUUAGAUUUCAUCGUGAUCUAUCCAUAUGCGCAUUACUAUAAAUGAUUAUUGUGAAGUACGAAUGGUUUGAUUCCUGUUUAGGGUACGUAGGCAAUCUAACGAGAUGUUAGAUGUAACCAUAUAAGAAAUGAGAUUCAAUAACCGAGACCAUAGCCUUGUUUAAGGAAUUGAGCAAUAUGUGUGGGCUUUUGGUUUUAAGUAUAUAUGUAUACACUUGAUAUUUUCCCAGAAAUAUGUUUAAAUGAGAUUAUGCCUUGAAUGCCAUGCAUAUAAGUUUAUAAUUCGUAUAUGAAUUGGUAUAUGAUGCAUUAUAUAUAAUUGUGUUGCUGUGAACACUCUGAAGUGCAAAGGUGAACGUAGGACAUUCAGGUAA
This 923-nucleotide long non-coding RNA is filed under the name Malus domestica (apple). RNAcentral describes it as "long non-coding RNA (MDOM_LNC012906)". Lineage: Eukaryota; Viridiplantae; Streptophyta; Magnoliopsida; Rosales; Rosaceae. The record is from RNAcentral.